This is a non-coding RNA of Acanthosepion pharaonis, 113 nucleotides long. The record is from the annotation of a GenBank genome assembly. Lineage: Eukaryota; Metazoa; Mollusca; Cephalopoda; Sepiida; Sepiidae.
UUACGGCCAAAUCACGUUGAAAUACCAGUUCCCGUACGAUCUUUGAAGUUAAGCAACGUCGAGCCUAAUCAGCACUUCAAUGGGUAACCACUUGAGAAUACCAGGUGUUGUAA